Molecule: unclassified non-coding RNA, 304 nt
Filed under: Hevea brasiliensis (rubber tree)
Lineage: Eukaryota; Viridiplantae; Streptophyta; Magnoliopsida; Malpighiales; Euphorbiaceae
Source: RNAcentral
AAGACCAGAGAUGAUAGAAGUGCAUUGAGUGAUAAGGUAAUUGGCCUACAGAAGAAGUGGAACGAUAUCUGCCGUCUUCAUCAAAGGCAAAUGUUCCCUAAACUCGACAUUUCCCAUACCAGGCACGGGACUGGAUUUGCUUUAGAUCAUGAAAGAAGUGGUGAAGAACCAUCAUCUGUAACUGGAGAAAGAUUUGUAAUUGGCAAUCCUUGCUUAUCUAGAGACUUGCAAAACAAUUUAAACACAAAGCAGGCCAGGCAGAUAUCGGAGACUUCCGAUUCUCAUACCGAUAAUUUCCAAUCCA